UCCGAUAUAGUGUAAUGGUUAACAUACCUCGCUCUCAUUGCAGGCGCCGAGGAGCUCGGGGUUCGAUUCCCCGUAUCGGAG
RNAcentral lists this transfer RNA (81 nucleotides) under Moelleriella libera RCEF 2490. RNAcentral's name for it is "Aschersonia aleyrodis RCEF 2490 tRNA". It matches the Rfam family "tRNA". Rfam says of the family: Transfer RNA (tRNA) molecules are approximately 80 nucleotides in length. Their secondary structure includes four short double-helical elements and three loops (D, anti-codon, and T loops). Lineage: Eukaryota; Fungi; Ascomycota; Sordariomycetes; Hypocreales; Clavicipitaceae. The record is from Rfam by way of RNAcentral.